RNAcentral lists this ribosomal RNA (322 nucleotides) under uncultured bacterium. Its description in RNAcentral is "bacterial SSU rRNA". It matches the Rfam family "Bacterial small subunit ribosomal RNA", at positions 794 to 1112 of the family's 1533-position model. The record is from RNAcentral.
UCCACGCCGUAAACGAUGAGAGCUAGGUGUAGGAGGUAUCGACUCCUUCUGUGCCGCAGUUAACGCAUUAAGCUCUCCGCCUGGGGAGUACGGCCGCAAGGUUAAAACUCAAAGGAAUUGACGGGGGCCCGCACAAGCGGUGGAGUAUGUGGUUUAAUUCGAUGAUACGCGAGAAACCUUACCUGGUCUUGACAUGUAGAGAAUUUCUAGAGAUAGAAAGUGCCUGCUUGCAGGAGCUCUAACACAGGUGGUGCAUGGUUGUCGUCAGCUCGUGUCGUGAGAUGUUGGGUUAAGUCCCGCAACGAGCGCAACCCUUGUUACU